UUUGAUUAAAAUUGAAUUAUUACCAAAUAUGAAAACACAAGCAUGUUUCACUAUGUUCGAGAUAUGGUUUGUAAAUCGGGCAGGUGUGCUAUUGCAUAAUUUGCAUUAUGAAUUUACGGAGGAAAAACGCGAUUGAGAGAAUGAGGAGGAUUGUGAUGUUUUCAUUUUUAAAUUUAUUGGAUUAUAUUGAUUUUUUUUUUGAAAUUAUUGAUUAACAAUUUAAAUAAUAACUAGUUAUUAAUGAAAAAUAUUUUUCGUCACUAAAUUUGCCUCUAUAUAAAAUGGGGUGGGAUGUAGAUUUUAGAUAAGAAUGGGGUGGAGUGUAAUUCUAACAAACCUUAAGGGGGGUGAGUGUACUUUACUCAAAGAAGAAAGAAGCCAAGAAACUUU
RNAcentral lists this long non-coding RNA (390 nucleotides) under Lotus japonicus. Its description in RNAcentral is "long non-coding RNA (LJAP_LNC001818)". Lineage: Eukaryota; Viridiplantae; Streptophyta; Magnoliopsida; Fabales; Fabaceae. The record is from RNAcentral.